Molecule: long non-coding RNA, 337 nt
Filed under: Salvia miltiorrhiza (redroot sage)
Lineage: Eukaryota; Viridiplantae; Streptophyta; Magnoliopsida; Lamiales; Lamiaceae
Description: long non-coding RNA (SMIL_LNC009535)
Source: RNAcentral
AUUAAUUAGACUCUAUAAUUUCAGUUUGAUUGAUUAUUUUAUUACUUUAUGAGAUUUUGAGAUAUUAUAUAAAUUUUCCAUGGUAAUAAUGCAACAAAAGUAUUUUGAUAAAUUCAAUUUUUUUUAAGAUAUCCAAUUGAGUUUUGAAAAUCCGGGCGCAGAAUAUUAAGAUUUAGCAGCUUUGUAGAAUCGUUAGCUCAUGCGAUAUUUUGAGACCUAUUAAGAUUAGAUUGUCUUGUAGGUCCACUUGAGAGAAGGAAUUAGCUUUGCUUUUACAAGAAGAGAAUUGUACAUCUUUUAUCUACAGGCUUGUUCUAUCGAGGUGGGUUUUUAUUUU